GAUGAACGCUGACAGAAUGCUUAACACAUGCAAGUCAACCGGAAGGUGGGUUUUUAACUUUGGCUGGUGUGGCGGACGGGUGAGUAAGGCGUAAAGAACUUGCCUCACAGCUAGGCACAACUAUUGUAAACGAAUGCUAAUACCUACUAUUAUGUUAUUAGAGCAUCCUAUAAUUAUGAAAGCUAUCAGCGCUGUGAGCACGCUUCGCUUCACAUUAGCUAGUUGGAGAGGUAACGGCUUAACAAGGCAACGAUGGAUAGCCGACAUGAGAGGGUGAUCGGCCACACUGGAACUGAGAAGCGGUCCAGACUCCUACGGGAGGCAGCAGUAGGGAAUCUUCCGCAAUGGGCGAAAGCCUGACGGAGCAACGCCGCGUGAGUGAUGAAGGUCUUCGGAUCGUAAAACUCUGUUAGUAGGGAAGAACAUAUGUGUAAGUAACUGUGCACAUCUUGACGGUACCUAAUCAGAAAGCCACGGCUAACUACGUG
Molecule: ribosomal RNA, 488 nt
Filed under: uncultured bacterium
Lineage: Bacteria
Description: partial 16S ribosomal RNA
Rfam family: Bacterial small subunit ribosomal RNA
Source: RNAcentral